This is a long non-coding RNA of Sander lucioperca (pikeperch), 127 nucleotides long. RefSeq lists it as uncharacterized. The record is from RefSeq and is a predicted model, not a curated record. The transcript has 3 exons. Lineage: Eukaryota; Metazoa; Chordata; Actinopteri; Perciformes; Percidae.
ACUCCUGAUAACUGCUGUGGGCUGUUUACGUCUCUGUCCGUGAUGUCGACAUGCUUAUCCUGAUUCAGCUUGGUUUCCUCAUGUGCAGAUGCAGCUCCACAUACACAACACAGUGAGACUGACGCGU